This 87-nucleotide microRNA precursor is filed under the name Nomascus leucogenys (northern white-cheeked gibbon). Its description in RNAcentral is "miRNA (ENSNLEG00000024418.2)". The record is from RNAcentral. Lineage: Eukaryota; Metazoa; Chordata; Mammalia; Primates; Hylobatidae.
AAGGUGAAGGGAGGGGGCAGUACCAAUCUGAAUCCCACCAAAAUAGGUGGUAGAGGGCUGCCCUCCUUCCUUCCCUCACCUCUGACC